This 810-nucleotide ribosomal RNA is filed under the name uncultured bacterium. Its description in RNAcentral is "bacterial SSU rRNA". It matches the Rfam family "Bacterial small subunit ribosomal RNA", at positions 8 to 796 of the family's 1533-position model. The record is from RNAcentral.
AGAGUUUGAUCAUGGCUCAGAACGAACGCUGGCGGCGUGGAUAAGACAUGCAAGUCGAACGAGAUUUUUCGUUGUAGCAAUACGAUGGAAAGUCUAGUGGCGAACGGGUGCUUAACACGUGGGCAACCUGCCAUGAAGUGGGGGAUAGCUCGCCGAAAGGCGAAUUAAUACCGCAUGUGAUUAGAGAGGACAUCCUUUCGAAAUUAAAGUCGGGGCAACCUGACGCUUCUUGUGGGGCCCGCGGCCUAUCAGCUAGUUGGUGAGGUAACGGCUCACCAAGGCUUUGACGGGUAGCUGGUCUGAGAGGACGACCAGCCACACUGGGACUGAGACACGGCCCAGACACCUACGGGUGGCAGCAGUCGAGAAUUUUUGACAAUGGGGGAAACCCUGAUCGAGCGACGCCGCGUGGAGGAUGAAGGUCUUCGGAUUGUAAACUCCUGUCAUUGGGGAACAAUGCGCAAAUAUUAACUGUAUUUGUGUUGAUAGUACCCGAAGAGGAAGAGACGGCUAACUCUGUGCCAGCAGCUGCGGUAAUACAGAGGUCUCAAGCGUUGUUCGGAUUCAUUGGGCGUAAAGGGUGCGUAGGCGGCGCGGUAAGUCGGGUGUGAAAUCUCGGAGCUUAACUCCGAAACUGCAUUCGAUACUGCCGUGCUUGAGGACUGGAGAGGAGACUGGAAUUUACGGUGUAGCGGUGAAAUGCGUAGAUAUCGUAAGGAAGACCAGUGGCGAAGGCGGGUCUCUGGACAGUUCCUGACGCUGAGGCACGAAGGUCAGGGGAGCAAACGGGAUUAGAUACCCUAGUAGUCC